Microbacterium hydrocarbonoxydans is the source of this 95-nucleotide regulatory RNA element. It matches the Rfam family "TPP riboswitch aptamer (THI element)". Rfam says of the family: Vitamin B(1) in its active form thiamin pyrophosphate (TPP) is an essential coenzyme that is synthesised by coupling of pyrimidine and thiazole moieties in bacteria. NCBI's taxonomy places the organism in Bacteria, Bacillati, Actinomycetota, Actinomycetes, Micrococcales, Microbacteriaceae. The record is from Rfam.
AGCAGUGACACGGGGUGCCGCAUCCGCGGCUGAGAACAGACCCGUCGAACCUGAUCUAGUUAGCACUAGCGAAGGGAAUGUCGCAUGAGCGAUCU